This is a long non-coding RNA of Telopea speciosissima, 221 nucleotides long. RefSeq lists it as uncharacterized. The transcript has 3 exons. NCBI's taxonomy places the organism in Eukaryota, Viridiplantae, Streptophyta, Magnoliopsida, Proteales, Proteaceae. The record is from RefSeq and is a predicted model, not a curated record.
AUAAAUUACCGAUGGCAAAAGGGAAUGGAGGGACGAAGAAGAAAGCAUAAAGCAGAUGCAUCUUCAAACAAAAGAAGAUAUGCUGAGGAUUGUAACACUCACGAUGGGAGGUCAUAAAUGUGAACAGUAUUGUCGUUACACAAACACAUCAGGACAAGGGUUUCGCUUGUGCAUCAUGCACUCCACAGAGGGUGAGCACACCCUGUUCUACACUGUAUGUG